RNAcentral lists this ribosomal RNA (1468 nucleotides) under Streptococcus salivarius. RNAcentral's name for it is "bacterial SSU rRNA". It matches the Rfam family "Bacterial small subunit ribosomal RNA". Lineage: Bacteria; Bacillati; Bacillota; Bacilli; Lactobacillales; Streptococcaceae. The record is from RNAcentral.
UCAGGACGAACGCUGGCGGCGUGCCUAAUACAUGCAAGUAGAACGCUGAAGAGAGGAGCUUGCUCUUCUUGGAUGAGUUGCGAACGGGUGAGUAACGCGUAGGUAACCUGCCUUGUAGCGGGGGAUAACUAUUGGAAACGAUAGCUAAUACCGCAUAACAAUGGAUGACACAUGUCAUUUAUUUGAAAGGGGCAAUUGCUCCACUACAAGAUGGACCUGCGUUGUAUUAGCUAGUAGGUGAGGUAACGGCUCACCUAGGCGACGAUACAUAGCCGACCUGAGAGGGUGAUCGGCCACACUGGGACUGAGACACGGCCCAGACUCCUACGGGAGGCAGCAGUAGGGAAUCUUCGGCAAUGGGGGCAACCCUGACCGAGCAACGCCGCGUGAGUGAAGAAGGUUUUCGGAUCGUAAAGCUCUGUUGUAAGUCAAGAACGAGUGUGAGAGUGGAAAGUUCACACUGUGACGGUAGCUUACCAGAAAGGGACGGCUAACUACGUGCCAGCAGCCGCGGUAAUACGUAGGUCCCGAGCGUUGUCCGGAUUUAUUGGGCGUAAAGCGAGCGCAGGCGGUUUGAUAAGUCUGAAGUUAAAGGCUGUGGCUCAACCAUAGUUCGCUUUGGAAACUGUCAAACUUGAGUGCAGAAGGGGAGAGUGGAAUUCCAUGUGUAGCGGUGAAAUGCGUAGAUAUAUGGAGGAACACCGGUGGCGAAAGCGGCUCUCUGGUCUGUAACUGACGCUGAGGCUCGAAAGCGUGGGGAGCGAACAGGAUUAGAUACCCUGGUAGUCCACGCCGUAAACGAUGAGUGCUAGGUGUUGGAUCCUUUCCGGGAUUCAGUGCCGCAGCUAACGCAUUAAGCACUCCGCCUGGGGAGUACGACCGCAAGGUUGAAACUCAAAGGAAUUGACGGGGGCCCGCACAAGCGGUGGAGCAUGUGGUUUAAUUCGAAGCAACGCGAAGAACCUUACCAGGUCUUGACAUCCCGAUGCUAUUUCUAGAGAUAGAAAGUUACUUCGGUACAUCGGUGACAGGUGGUGCAUGGUUGUCGUCAGCUCGUGUCGUGAGAUGUUGGGUUAAGUCCCGCAACGAGCGCAACCCCUAUUGUUAGUUGCCAUCAUUCAGUUGGGCACUCUAGCGAGACUGCCGGUAAUAAACCGGAGGAAGGUGGGGAUGACGUCAAAUCAUCAUGCCCCUUAUGACCUGGGCUACACACGUGCUACAAUGGUUGGUACAACGAGUUGCGAGUCGGUGACGGCAAGCUAAUCUCUUAAAGCCAAUCUCAGUUCGGAUUGUAGGCUGCAACUCGCCUACAUGAAGUCGGAAUCGCUAGUAAUCGCGGAUCAGCACGCCGCGGGUGGAAUACGUUCCCCGGGCCUUGUACACACCGCCCGUCACACCACGAGAGUUUGUAACACCCGAAGUCGGUGAGGUAACCUUUUGGAGCCAGCCGCCUAAGGUGGGAUAGAUG